Molecule: long non-coding RNA, 911 nt
Organism: Melospiza melodia melodia
Lineage: Eukaryota; Metazoa; Chordata; Aves; Passeriformes; Passerellidae
Exons: 3
Source: RefSeq, a predicted model, not a curated record
GAGUCAGUCUGUUCCAAAGUUUGAAGAGGUAUUUCUCAAUGAUAUCUGAAUUAACUUCUUCUGCCUUAAAGAAACCAUGCUCAACAAUGCUUACUUUCACUCCAAAAUGCCGCAUUUCUAUCCUAGAAGAAAAGAAAUCAAAUAAUCUCCCUGACCAUCCAAUAAUGGCACAACUAUGAAUCAUAAGCAAGACUUUCAGAGAGGAAUCAAAAUGGGCAAACAUACCCUUCCUCAGCACGUCUGGAGUCUGUUCUUGGAUCCAUGCAUGUGUUUCUGGCUACUUACCUUAAGGUGUCAGAGAAAGCUUCCAUGCCCCAUUUGGACAGACUGUAGCCACCCCCUACAAAAGCCAUGAGACCUUUUGCAUUCAUUAGAUUGACAACUCUUCCCUCAGCUUUUUUCAGAAGAGGCAGAAGCUUGAGUGUGAUUUCAAUCAAUCCCAGCAGGCUAACAUCCAGGACUGAAUGGAAGUCUUCAAUCCUCAGCCAGUCGGUGGGUCCUACAGGUGCUGUUCCUUCAGCAUUGCUCACCAAGCCAAAAAGCCCUAGGAGGAAUGCAAAACCAUUUAUCUCAGUAUAUGGCAAUAUCUUACCCUGGAGUAUCAUGGAUGCAUUGGGAACCAAGCACACAGUCUGCAAAAACUUCAGUGAGAUGAAUACGGUUAUCUGGGAUUUGCUUGGAUGGUGUGCUUUGUACAUCUGUUAGAAUUUGCUGAAGAACAUGGGUAAAAUGUUAAAGGAACACUAUUUUGUUUGGAGAUGUGGGCCACCAUGCUGGGCUUUAUCCAGAUCUGCUCAGAGUUUGCUGAGGACAGCCUGUGCCUGAGGGGAGAGGCCGAAAGUCCAGCACUCAGCCUCCAUAAAGAGUCUUACACGCUGAGGGGAAAGCAUUAGCAGUGGCUAUCCUGCCUG